Regulatory RNA element from Nocardioides sp. JS614, 132 nucleotides. It matches the Rfam family "ALIL pseudoknot". The record is from Rfam. NCBI's taxonomy places the organism in Bacteria, Bacillati, Actinomycetota, Actinomycetes, Propionibacteriales, Nocardioidaceae.
GGCGUUUUUCGCCCAGGCGGAGCUCGACCGCCGACUCAAGUGAUCGUCGACUACAUCGACUCCCAUCGGAAGCGGUUCGGCGUCGAGCCGAUCUGUGCCGUGCUGUCCGAGCACGGUGUCUCGAUCGCGCCC